GGGAGUACGGCCGCAAGGUUAAAACUCAAAUGAAUUGACGGGGGCCCGCACAAGCGGUGGAGCAUGUGGUUUAAUUCGAUGCAACGCGAAGAACCUUACCUGGUCUUGACAUCCACGGAAGUUUUCAGAGAUGAGAAUGUGCCUUCGGGAACCGUGAGACAGGUGCUGCAUGGCUGUCGUCAGCUCGUGUUGUGAAAUGUUGGGUUAAGUCCCGCAACGAGCGCAACCCUUAUCCUUUGUUGCCAGCGGUCCGGCCGGGAACUCAAAGGAGACUGCCAGUGAUAAACUGGAGGAAGGUGGGGAUGACGUCAAGUCAUCAUGGCCCUUACGACCAGGGCUACACACGUGCUACAAUGGCGCAUACAAAGAGAAGCGACCUCGCGAGAGCAAGCGGACCUCAUAAAGUGCGUCGUAGUCCGGAUUGGAGUCUGCAACUCGACUCCAUGAAGUCGGAAUCGCUAGUAAUCGUGGAUCAGAAUGCCACGGUGAAUACGUUCCCGGGCCUUGUACACACCGCCCGUCACACCAUGGGAGUGGGUUGCAAAAGAAGUAGGUAGCUUAACCUUCGGGAGGGCGCUUACCACUUUGUGAUUCAUGACUGGGGUGAAGUCGUAACAAGGUAACCGUAGGGGAACCUGCGGUUGGAUCACCUCCUU
This 656-nucleotide ribosomal RNA is filed under the name Escherichia coli. RNAcentral's name for it is "partial 16S ribosomal RNA". It matches the Rfam family "Bacterial small subunit ribosomal RNA", at positions 876 to 1532 of the family's 1533-position model. The record is from RNAcentral. RNAcentral also lists the same sequence under 1 other name. Lineage: Bacteria; Pseudomonadati; Pseudomonadota; Gammaproteobacteria; Enterobacterales; Enterobacteriaceae.